UGAGUUACAGUUCAUAUAAGGAUGAUAACGGAUGAAAUCCAUAAUUUAUUUGAGACAUUAUUUAAUUAUUUAAUGUAACAAAUCAAACAUUAAACCUUGUAAACAAUUCAUGGUGAUUCAUGGUAACCUCGUAAACAAUUUAUUUAUACCCAGCGUUUAUUUGAAACAGGUGUUUAUUUGCUGAAAUGUGUGCCGUUGCCUGGCUAUUAAAAGGGACAGGUGGCUAUUUGAGACACUGCGUUUAAUUGAUGUUUUAAGUAAUGCAUUACAAUGAGAAUGCCAACCGAGCCUAAGCAACCAUGGCUACAGGGGAGUGACGAUACUCCAUCUGGUAACCCAAGUACAAGGGAGAACAAUACUCUGUGCGGGCUCUGAAAAGUGAUCCUACUUUCGGCUACGUACAAAACCUGUUGGAUUUGCUGUUCAGCAGUGUGGUGGUAACCCCCUAGCCAUAUCAGGAGCUGUUCCAAAGGGUGCCUGUACCCGUCUCCCUUUGCUCAGAGUAUGAUAGACCAGAAAAGGCUGAGGCAGUAGCCAGAUACCAGCCCCGCUUCAGGGUAGGGGAGAACACUUGAAUCAGUGGGCUGUGUGUGUUUGUGUGUAACCAACCAGUAUCUUUGAUGAGGGGCCAGGAGCACACUUCACCUCCAGCCUUACCUCGUGCUUGCUCACCAAUGGUCGUCGAUGGGGAGAACAGAAUUAGAUGCAUGAAACGCAGAGCUGGCACUCAACACAUCCACAAUGUGGGACUGAAGUUGAUGAUUCAUAAUACAGUACAGUAUAAAUGUAUCGUAAUAGCAACACCGUUUUCAUUCCAUGUGUCACUGAUGAACUCUGCCUCAACUCUACCUAUUUCUACAGAUGGACUGGAGAUGCUUUUGUCAGACGCCAGCCUCAGUCAUUUGAUGGGGAGUCCACAAUUGGACACAUGUAUGUAGCCAGCAAAUGGAGACUUGCAAGAUGAUGUGAUGGAGUCCAGACUGACCGACCAGCUUGAUACAGAUGUCUCGGAAUAGAGAGAACUUGCAUUCAUAAAAAUCUUACUUGACAAAACUUU
Coregonus clupeaformis (lake whitefish) is the source of this 1057-nucleotide long non-coding RNA. RefSeq lists it as uncharacterized. The transcript is spliced from 6 exons. The record is from RefSeq and is a predicted model, not a curated record. NCBI's taxonomy places the organism in Eukaryota, Metazoa, Chordata, Actinopteri, Salmoniformes, Salmonidae.